GAUGUUCUCCUCCUUCUCCAGCAGGGUGCCGCGCUGCAGCUCCUGUGGUUGACAACAUCAAGGGUAGCAGGGCAUGAGUUUACGUGACGCGCGUGAAGUGACAGACGGACCGACGGCCAUUCGAGCGGUCAACACCCCACCCCCGAGCCCAGGAACGACACGUGCUGCAGCCCGAACCCCCUAAGCUGGUAUUGCGAUCUCUUUCCCCACACAUUCUGUCCAUGAUCCAUGUAAUCAACCGUGGAGCAAACGGAUCCCCGCGACCGCAACACCCCGCUGAAAUCGGCAUGUACUGGCUUUCUGGCUCGACGCCGUUCUGACGCACUGAUCGCCUAGCCAGCAUCCUUAUUUGCCAUCCCACAUGUCACUUGCUGCGUUCCCCUUCCCGUCGCGCGAUGAUCGCGCCGAAACUAAAUUUGCGCACCUGCACAGCGGCCAGGGGCCAGCCAGCGCCCUGCCACGCCAGCUUGGUGGCCAGGGGCACGUCAAUAAUGAUCUCCUUGUCAGUGGGCUUAGCCUCGCCCUUGACGGCAAUCAGGUACUGGCGACCGACGUAGCCGAUGUAGCCAGCAACGUAGAGGAAGCCAAAGGUGGGGAUCUGCAUGGCAAGCGAAUCGAGUGAGCUGCUGUCCACAGCGAGGAACACAACGCUGAACUUACGAAGACCUCGCCAGCGUGGCCAUACUUCAGGGCCAGGCCGGGGUCAGCAAUCAGGUGGGGCAGACCGUCGUUGCCGCACAGCAGGCCGGCCUUAGCGUAGUUGGCGAAGCGGGCCUUGGUGCGCUCCAUGGUGGCCUUCAGGGCCACGGCGGGGGCGCUGUCCGCCUCGUACUGCGCGCGCAAGCAAAGAAUCGGCAAGUUGAAUAGGAGGAUCACCAUAUCGCUUGCCUUGGAAGCCCGAGACCCCGGUUAAAAUAUUCACCUGCUUCAGGCGCUUCUCCAGGGUCUUCAGCUCCUUCUUCUCCAGCUUGGCGUAAGCCUUGCUCUCGGAGCAGGGGGUCAGGCCCGCGAUGUCGGCCAUCGCCGCGGAGGGGGCAGACAGCGACACGGCAGCGGCCAGAGCGGACGCAGCCAGGGCAG
RNAcentral lists this long non-coding RNA (1080 nucleotides) under Chlamydomonas reinhardtii. Its description in RNAcentral is "long non-coding RNA (CREI_LNC000839)". The record is from RNAcentral. Lineage: Eukaryota; Viridiplantae; Chlorophyta; Chlorophyceae; Chlamydomonadales; Chlamydomonadaceae.